GGACUUGUGGUGUAGUGGUUAUCACGUAUCGUUCACAGUAAUGUGAACAAAUUCCCGAUAAGGUCCCCGGUUCGAGCCCGGGCAAGUUCA
Molecule: non-coding RNA, 90 nt
Organism: Cytospora paraplurivora
Lineage: Eukaryota; Fungi; Ascomycota; Sordariomycetes; Diaporthales; Cytosporaceae
Source: the annotation of a GenBank genome assembly